CCUACGGGAGGCAGCAGUGGGGGAUAUCGCACAAUGGGGGGAACCCUGAUGCAGCGACGCCGCGUGGGUGAAGGAGUGCUUCGGCAUGUAAAGCCCUAUCGGCAGGGAAGAAGCAAGACGGUACCUGACUAAGAAGCCCCGGCUAACUACGUGCCAGCAGCCGCGGUAAUACGUAGGGGGCGAGCGUUAUCCGGAUUCACUGGGUGUAACGGGAGCGUAGACGGCCAUGCAAGCCAGGGGUGAAAGCCCGGGGCCCAAACCCGGGACUGCCCUUGGAACUGCAUGGCUGGAGUGCGGGAGGGGCAGGCGGAAUUCCUGGUGUAGCGGUGAAAUGCGUAGAUAUCAGGAGGAACACCGGCGGCGAAGGCGGCAUGCUGGACUGCGACUGACGUUGAGGCUCGAAAGCGUGGGGAGCGAACAGGAUUAGAUACCCUUGUAGUC
This 441-nucleotide ribosomal RNA is filed under the name uncultured bacterium. RNAcentral describes it as "partial 16S ribosomal RNA". It matches the Rfam family "Bacterial small subunit ribosomal RNA", at positions 338 to 795 of the family's 1533-position model. The record is from RNAcentral.